This 75-nucleotide transfer RNA is filed under the name Chitinophagaceae bacterium. RNAcentral's name for it is "tRNA-His". It matches the Rfam family "tRNA". From Rfam's summary of the family: Transfer RNA (tRNA) molecules are approximately 80 nucleotides in length. Their secondary structure includes four short double-helical elements and three loops (D, anti-codon, and T loops). Further hydrogen bonds mediate the characteristic L-shaped molecular structure. tRNAs have two regions of fundamental functional importance: the anti-codon, which is responsible for specific mRNA codon recognition, and the 3' end, to which the tRNAs corresponding amino acid is attached (by aminoacyl-tRNA synthetases). tRNAs cope with the degeneracy of the genetic code in two manners: having more than one tRNA (with a specific anti-codon) for a particular amino acid; and 'wobble' base-pairing, i.e. permitting non-standard base-pairing at the 3rd anti-codon position. The record is from RNAcentral. Lineage: Bacteria; Pseudomonadati; Bacteroidota; Chitinophagia; Chitinophagales; Chitinophagaceae.
GUGGCUGUAGCUCAGUCGGUUAGAGCAUCAGAUUGUGGUUCUGAGGGUCGCCGGUUUCGAGCCCGGUUAGCCACC